Cinara cedri is the source of this 1104-nucleotide non-coding RNA. Lineage: Eukaryota; Metazoa; Arthropoda; Insecta; Hemiptera; Aphididae. The record is from the annotation of a GenBank genome assembly.
GUCCCGUCGAGCGUUACGACCUCCCCCCCCCCUCCCGGUAGGAGAGACGCCUCGAUAGGACGGUCGCCCGUCCGGGUCGCGGGGUCAUUACUUCCGGUCCAUCCGGCGCCAUCGACGCGCACGUGGAAGUUUUACCGGUGUUAUCGUUGUUCGGUUAUUGUCGCGCGUUUACCGUACAAAGUGUACCGUUGUCACGUCUCAUGACGUUGCGCGCAACGCGCUGUAAAAUAACAACACUAACAAUUAUAUUGUAAAAUCAUUGCAAAAUCUCACGAGUUGCAUGUAUAUACGUAUCGUUAUACGACCUCUUUACCCGAUUGAUGUUUUUUUUUUUUUUUUUUUUUAUUAAAACACACACACACACACACACACACAUAUAUAUAAAUAUAUUUUUAUUUUUUUUUUUUUCGUGUAUAAAUUGUUAAUAAUAAUGAUAUUUUAUAUUAUAACAAUAUGGAAAAUCACCGUAACCUGCGUUACGAGUGGCGCGCAGAACAAUGUGAAUACGUAACGAAAAAUUAAUCGAUUAGUAUUAUUGUGCAUUAUAAAAUGUUAUUGUAUUAUCGUAUAGUCGGCCGUAAUAUUAUGAUAGUCGUCGGAUUUUUUUUUUUUUUUAAAAUCCUUUAGUUUUUUAAUUUUAUUUUCGUACGGCGAUUCACAACUACCGCGACCGCCCGCGUAGCGGAACCGCCACGUACGUAAUCAUUAUUAUUAUUAUUAUUAUUAUUAUUAUUAUUAUAAUUAUUAUUAUUAUUAUUAUUAUUAUUAUUAUUAUAAUUGUAUACCUAUACUCUAUUCUACAUUAUAGGAUUCUCGCAUAUCUAAUUUAACAUUAUUAUAAUUACGUUAUUUUUACGGUAAAUGUAGAUUUUCUAAUUAUAGUAUAUAGCUAAAGUGAUCGAAUUUUUUUUCCGGGAUUUUUUAUUUUUUCUUUGAUUUUAUUUGUUUUAUUUCUAACGUGUACAUUAAAAAUAAUAUAUUAUAUUUGUGUCGUGACGAAGCGAUAUUGUUUAAUACGAAAUGUUUAAAAAAAAAAAAAAAAAAAAAUCGAUAUUAUAAUAAUAUACUAUUAUUAUAUUAUACAUUGUAUCAUCAAUAAACGAG